CUUAGAGUGAAGUGCCAGUAAGCUUCGAGUGUCACCGAGGGGUUGCAACAUAGACGCGGAAAGACGGCAAGAAUCACAGAAAGGUAUCGCGGCCGAUGUCCUCGGACAACCUGUUCCCAUUCGGCUCGUUUCAGGGAAAGCAAAAAACCACCGGCAAAAAUAUUGAAACAUGGACCAGUUGAGCUCAUGCAUUAAAAAAAA
Long non-coding RNA from Hippocampus comes (tiger tail seahorse), 201 nucleotides. RefSeq lists it as uncharacterized. NCBI's taxonomy places the organism in Eukaryota, Metazoa, Chordata, Actinopteri, Syngnathiformes, Syngnathidae. The record is from RefSeq and is a predicted model, not a curated record. The transcript has 2 exons.